CGCAGUCCUCUGGCGCGGGGGUGACGGUCGGUGGCGGCCGCCCGAGGGUCUGUGUCGCCGUACCCGCAAGGGCACCUUGGCCGGGCCGGGGUGCGCCCGGAGUGCCCGCGUGGGCGGCCCGGGUGCGCUCUGGGAGCGGUGGAUCAGAAGAAUCCUCUGCAGAUUCCUAGACCCCCGCAAGCUUAGAGCUUCAGGAGAUCUGGAGGGGAGCCUCUGAAAGCUGGUCAGUGACAGCGCGUGGAGAAACACUACUGAGGGCUCCUGUCCCCAGUUCCUGGUGUCACCGCCAGGCCAGCUUCUGAACAUUCUGCUUGCCACAGUUGGGCCACACUUGGAUCUUUGAGGCUUCUGUUAAGGUCCCAUUGCGUGGAAGGUUUUCUUCUGGAAAUGGGGAUAACGAGGACCGUGUUGUCCAUCUGGGACAGCUGUUGUGAUGACAAGAGACAAUUUCCGAGGAGGACUUGGGGGCAAAGACAUGUUUAAGAAUUCUUCCUUGGCCGUCGGCUCCGGACCCACCAUCACCCCAAAGCCCCAUCAAUA
This is a long non-coding RNA of Herpailurus yagouaroundi (jaguarundi), 540 nucleotides long. RefSeq lists it as uncharacterized. The transcript has 4 exons. The record is from RefSeq and is a predicted model, not a curated record. NCBI's taxonomy places the organism in Eukaryota, Metazoa, Chordata, Mammalia, Carnivora, Felidae.